This 270-nucleotide ribosomal RNA is filed under the name Malassezia restricta. RNAcentral's name for it is "partial small subunit ribosomal RNA". Lineage: Eukaryota; Fungi; Basidiomycota; Malasseziomycetes; Malasseziales; Malasseziaceae. The record is from RNAcentral.
UAGUSUAUGYAGUAGGRGURGSKGGGWAAUCWURKGAARYUUCGWCGUGCUGGGGAUAGAGCAUUGCAAUUAUUGCUCUUCAACGAGGAAUUCCUAGUAAGCGUGAGUCAUCAGCUCGCGUUGAUUACGUCCCUGCCCUUUGUACACACCGCCCGUCGCUACUACCGAUUGAAUGGCUUAGUGAGCCUUUGGGAUUGGCAGCUUGUACCGGCAACGGUAGCAGGCCGCUGAAAACUUAGGCAAACUUGGUCAUUUAGAGGAAGUAAAAGA